RNAcentral lists this transfer RNA (73 nucleotides) under Arthrobacter sp. Hiyo1. Its description in RNAcentral is "tRNA-Arg". RNAcentral also lists the same sequence under 1 other name. Lineage: Bacteria; Bacillati; Actinomycetota; Actinomycetes; Micrococcales; Micrococcaceae. The record is from RNAcentral.
UGCCCUCGAUUGGAAUCGAACCAACGACACCGGCUUUAGGAGAGCCGUGCUCUAUCCACUGAGCUACGAGGGC